Molecule: ribosomal RNA, 207 nt
Filed under: uncultured bacterium
Lineage: Bacteria
Description: partial 16S ribosomal RNA
Rfam family: Bacterial small subunit ribosomal RNA
Source: RNAcentral
CGCGUAGGCGGUAAUGUAAGUCAGAUGUGAAAGUCCUGGGCUCAACCCAGGAAGUGCAUCUGAAACUGCAUAACUAGAGUAUUGGAGAGGAAAGUGGAAUUCCUGGUGUAGAGGUGAAAUUCGUAGAUAUCAGGAGGAAUACCGGAGGCGAAGGCGACUUUCUGGACAAAUACUGACGCUAAGGCGCGAAAGCGUGGGGAGCGAACA